UUUAAACCCUAAAUAUGAUUUAAUUUCUUAUAUUU
Molecule: transfer RNA, 35 nt
Filed under: Orobdella naraharaetmagarum
Lineage: Eukaryota; Metazoa; Annelida; Clitellata; Hirudinida; Orobdellidae
Description: partial tRNA-Leu
Source: RNAcentral